Cricetulus griseus (Chinese hamster) is the source of this 80-nucleotide non-coding RNA. NCBI's taxonomy places the organism in Eukaryota, Metazoa, Chordata, Mammalia, Rodentia, Cricetidae. The record is from RefSeq and is marked provisional.
ACUUGGGAAAUCCCACCGCUGCCACCAAAUAAAGUGAAACACAGUAAAUGGGGAUCGCUAUGGAGUCAAAGCAAGUUUGA